GACGAACGCUGGCGGCGUGCCUAAUACAUGCAAGUAGAACGCACAGUUUAUACCGUAGCUUGCUACACCAUAGACUGUGAGUUGCGAACGGGUGAGUAACGCGUAGGUAACCUGCCUGGUAGCGGGGGAUAACCAUUGGAAACGAUAGCUAAUACCGCAUAAUAUUAAUUAUUGCAUGAUAAUUAAUUGAAAGGUGCAAUUGCACCACUACCAGAUGGACCUGCGUUGUAUUAGCUAGUAGGUGAGGUAACGGCUCACCUAGGCGACGAUACAUAGCCGACCUGAGAGGGUGAUCGGCCACACUGGGACUGAGACACGGCCCAGACUCCUACGGGAGGCAGCAGUAGGGAAUCUUCGGCAAUGGACGAAAGUCUGACCGAGCAACGCCGCGUGAGUGAAGAAGGUUUUCGGAUCGUAAAGCUCUGUUGUAAGAGAAGAACGGGUGUGAGAGUGGAAAGUUCACACUGUGACGGUAUCUUACCAGAAAGGGACGGCUAACUACGUG
This 505-nucleotide ribosomal RNA is filed under the name uncultured bacterium. RNAcentral's name for it is "partial 16S ribosomal RNA". It matches the Rfam family "Bacterial small subunit ribosomal RNA", at positions 28 to 507 of the family's 1533-position model. The record is from RNAcentral.